Daphnia pulicaria is the source of this 765-nucleotide long non-coding RNA. RefSeq lists it as uncharacterized. Lineage: Eukaryota; Metazoa; Arthropoda; Branchiopoda; Diplostraca; Daphniidae. The transcript is spliced from 3 exons. The record is from RefSeq and is a predicted model, not a curated record.
ACCAAUAUAAUAGGCAAUAUAUUUGGUAAUAGGCUAUGCUUGAGAUAUUAAAAUUUUCCCUCCCUCCCACCACCCGCCAAAAACUUUUUGGCGGGUUAAUUAGAAUAUUAGUGUCGUCUGCUGCUUUCGUUUUUCGUUAGAGUUUUCAGUUUCGAAAAAGCAGCAAAGAGAAAAGAAGCAUGGACGUAGACAAAGUUUCAGAGUUUUAUAUUAUAGAAAACUGAACGGAUCACUGGUUUUGGAAAAAAAACUUGUACGUGGCUGCAAUAGAAAUAGGUAAAUAGCAGAACAAAAUAAAAUGUGGUCUUCGUGUGAAAUUUGGUGUCAUGACUCACUAUGCUUUCCUCUCCAUGCUGUUUCUCAGGCAUAUGAAUAGAAUGAUUUUGGGAGCUUAUACAGAAGAGUUAAACCACUGUUCCAAAUUUGUCUAAUGUUGGUGCCUGACUACAGUGACUAGUAUUUAUCAUGUCUGAGCCAGCCAUCGUAACCACCAAGAUGUGCAAGUUUUGAUACUAACCUGUCAUCACCAACAAUCUCAGCAUCAUCAAUUGGAUAAACAGCUCCUAGUGUAAUUGGAAAAAAUAUGUCCUCGUGUACACCCAUGUGAGUGUGGGGGUAUUCACGAAGGCCCCUUUUCCUAUCCUGCUGCCUGGCGUCAACGUCAACUUUACUGAGGAUUGGUACUUAUGGAUGCCUGGCUGUGGAUUUCCCGGGCAUAAAGGUAGGAGAAAUUCUCUCUAUCCUUUUCUUUUGCUGCGUUGGUUU